This 87-nucleotide transfer RNA is filed under the name Rhodotorula toruloides. Its description in RNAcentral is "tRNA-Ser". Lineage: Eukaryota; Fungi; Basidiomycota; Microbotryomycetes; Sporidiobolales; Sporidiobolaceae. The record is from RNAcentral.
GCCCUGGUAGGAGCCAGACUUCUACUUUCUCGGCCCUUUUACCGAAUUGUGAUCUGGAGGCUGCGGGUUCGAGUCCCGCGUAGGGCU